This is a long non-coding RNA of Ictalurus punctatus (channel catfish), 1086 nucleotides long. The record is from Ensembl. NCBI's taxonomy places the organism in Eukaryota, Metazoa, Chordata, Actinopteri, Siluriformes, Ictaluridae.
GCUCCAGCAAACCCAAUUGGGCAACUUAAGGGCCUUGUUCACACAGUAGGCAGUCCUGGCAAAUGCAUACUGUAUGUGUGGUUUGUAAAAGCAGUUGCAAAUGCACACAAUUCUGCAAAUUGUGAAUAUGCGCCUAAGUGUACUGUUCAGAUGUCAGUAGAUUCAGCUAGCCUAGACUGAGCCCAUUCAAGACAAGUAGAUUUUAAAGUCAUCCAUCAACAUCGACAAGUACAGUGGGAUGAAAUAUUGUACUUCAAGGAUCGAGGUGUAACAAAAGACGAAAAUGUGUGCGAUACAUAGGAACACAUAAAAUAAAAAGAAAAUGUGUUAACAUGAAGUUUGAAACAUCACUAUUUAAUUAAAACAUUUUUCCAUAGUUGGUAAAUCUGUUCUAGUGAAAUUCAAUAAAAUAAAAAAAAUAAAAACCCACACACAAAAAACAGUUCAAACAAGCUUGCUAAACAUACUUCCUGUUGCACCAGUAAAAGUUAUUUCACCCACCUACUAUUCAAAUUUCAUUUUCUAUGUGGUCUAUGAACAUACUGAAAAUAAAUCCUGAUUGUUAUGAUAGUGGCAACAUUUUGUCCUACAAGUCAACAUUAAAACCAUUAUGUCUUACGAGUCAUAUUUUGUCUGAAGUAAUAUUCAUGAAAUCAGCACAUCACUUUACAUACGUCGUUGUGCAAAAGUCUUAGGCACCCGAUUAUUUAUUUACUGUUUUUACUUAAUUUCAGAUGUUUGUAUGUGAAUAAAGGAAGUAUGAUAUUAUAUAAUAGACCCCUUUCCAGGCAAGAAACAUAUUGUAGGGGAUCAGGAUUUACCUACAGAAAGAGGUGUCAAAGUCUCCAAAAAAAAAAAAAUUAAAUAAAAAAAAAAUAAAACCCCACACACAGAACAAAAAAAUAACCCUGUGGCAGAUUCUCCAAGAAGCUUACAAACAUGUACCAGCUCUUUUCCUUAUAAAACUGCACAAAGUGUACCUGAGACUACUGCGUUAUCACACCAAAUACCAACUUCCUUUAUUUCAUGAUUUUUGAUGGCAUCUUUGCUUUACAGCAGUUCUUUACACAUGCUUAAGACUGUUGC